This is a long non-coding RNA of Gallus gallus (chicken), 624 nucleotides long. The record is from Ensembl. Lineage: Eukaryota; Metazoa; Chordata; Aves; Galliformes; Phasianidae.
AGGGCAACCAAGCUGGUGAGGGGUCUGGAGCACAGACCUUAUGAAGAGCGGCUGAAGGAGCUGGGGUUGUUCAGUCUAGAGAAGAGGAGGCUCAGGGGAGACCUUAUUGCUCUCUAUCACUACCUGAAGGGAGGUUGUGUUGAGCUGGGGGUCAGCCUCUUCUCUCGUGUGACUAGUGAUAGGACUAGAGGGAAUGGCUUCAAGCUGUGCCAGGGAAGAUUCAGGCUGGAUGUUAGGAAAUACUACUUCUCUGAAAGGGUGGUCAGGCACUGGAAUGGGCUGCCCAGAGAGGUGGUGGAGUCACCGAGCCUGGUGGUGUUCAAGGAACAUUUGGAUGUUGUGUUGAGGGACAUGGUUUAGUGAGAAGUAUUGGUGAUGGGUGGAUGGUUGGACUGGGUGAUCCUGUAGGUCUUUUCCAACCUUAGUGAUUCUAUGAUUCUAUGAUUCUUUGAUCUCUUCUGGGAUUUAGAGAUUCAGAAGCAUAUUAUGUUUCCAGUUUUCUCUGCAAGACUAAGAAUUUUCCCAUUUGUAGGCAUCUCAUGUCUACAUGUGAUGUUGUCCCAGCAAGGAACACUGUACUUCAUUUCUCUAAAGACACACACUGCAUUUUUAAACACAAUCUCC